Molecule: microRNA, 22 nt
Filed under: Macaca mulatta (Rhesus monkey)
Lineage: Eukaryota; Metazoa; Chordata; Mammalia; Primates; Cercopithecidae
Description: mml-miR-7186-5p
Source: miRBase by way of RNAcentral
CUGUGGUUCCUGUAUGAAGACA